This is a long non-coding RNA of Lytechinus variegatus (green sea urchin), 356 nucleotides long. RefSeq lists it as uncharacterized. NCBI's taxonomy places the organism in Eukaryota, Metazoa, Echinodermata, Echinoidea, Temnopleuroida, Toxopneustidae. The transcript is spliced from 4 exons. The record is from RefSeq and is a predicted model, not a curated record.
GCAGAAGUGCGCGAAGACGGGAACGUGGAACUUGAACAGUCUGGUUUCGUACAUAUUGCUAAAGAAGUGGCUGAGGACGGAGCAUCUGUUGAGGAAAGCGAUUGUCCUCCCGGCCUCUGGUGUCGUUCGGCGUAAAAAUGGCAGAGGAAAUGCUGGAAGACCGAAUGAGAACUGGAAAUGGGAUUAGGAUUAACAUGUCAUAAUGUCGACAAACGUAGUCGAUAAUCCUGAAUGCAUUCAUAUUCCACCAUCAAAAUCUGUAGUACUGCAUUAAGCAAUGUCAUUAUUUUGAAUCAGUGUUGUUAAUCACAAAAAUGUUCAUCAUGUUCACUAUGACCAUGAUGACCAAGAAAUAC